GACGAACGCUGGCGGCGUGCUUAACACAUGCAAGUCGAACGAUGACGCCCGAGCUUGCUCGGUCUGAUUAGUGGCGAACGGGUGAGUAACACGUGAGCAACCUGCCCUUCACUCUGGGAUAACCUCGGGAAAUCGGGGCUAAUACCGGAUAUGAGCUCCUGUCGCAUGGCGGGUGUUGGAAAGUUUUUCGGUGAAGGAUGGGCUCGCGGCCUAUCAGUUUGUUGGUGAGGUAGUGGCUCACCAAGGCGAUGACGGGUAGCCGGCCUGAGAGGGCGACCGGCCACACUGGGACUGAGACGCGGCCCAGACUCCUACGGGAGGCAGCAGUGGGGAAUAUUGCACAAUGGGCGAAAGCCUGAUGCAGCGACGCCGCGUGAGGGAUGACGGCCUUCGGGUUGUAAACCUCUUUCAGCAGGGAAGAAGCGAAAGUGACGGUACCUGCAGAAGAAGCGCCGGCUAACUACGUG
This 467-nucleotide ribosomal RNA is filed under the name uncultured bacterium. Its description in RNAcentral is "partial 16S ribosomal RNA". It matches the Rfam family "Bacterial small subunit ribosomal RNA", at positions 28 to 507 of the family's 1533-position model. The record is from RNAcentral.